This 400-nucleotide ribosomal RNA is filed under the name uncultured bacterium. Its description in RNAcentral is "bacterial SSU rRNA". It matches the Rfam family "Bacterial small subunit ribosomal RNA", at positions 358 to 774 of the family's 1533-position model. The record is from RNAcentral.
GGAAUUUUGCGCAAUGGGGGAAACCCUGACGCAGCAACGCCGCGUGACCGAUGACGCCCUUCGGGGUGUAAAGGUCUGUCAGUGGGGACGAACAAUGACGGUACCCACAGAGGAAGCACCGGCUAACUCCGUGCCAGCAGCCGCGGUAAUACGGGGGGUGCGAGCGUUGUCCGGAAUCAUUGGGCGUAAAGAGUUCGUAGGUGGUAUGUUAAGUCUGGUGUUAAAGGCAGAGGCUCAACUUCUGUAUGGCACUGGAUACUGGCAAACUAGAAUGCGGUAGAGGUAAAGGGAAUUCCUGGUGUAGCGGUGAAAUGCGUAGAUAUCAGGAGGAACAUCGGAGGCGUAAGCGCUUUACUGGGCCGUAAUUGACACUGAGGAACGAAAGCCGGGGUAGCAAAUG